Dioscorea cayenensis subsp. rotundata (Guinea yam) is the source of this 442-nucleotide long non-coding RNA. RefSeq lists it as uncharacterized. NCBI's taxonomy places the organism in Eukaryota, Viridiplantae, Streptophyta, Magnoliopsida, Dioscoreales, Dioscoreaceae. The transcript has 3 exons. The record is from RefSeq and is a predicted model, not a curated record.
GUGAGGAAAAUAUGGAAGGAUUCCCGGAUUUAGUCCCAUCCUUGUCGGCUGGCAAUAAUUCCUCAUUUCUUUGCCUUAUCUCUACCCCUUCCUUGCUUCCUUCCACCUUUAACCUCAUUCUCCUCUCUUUUGAAGCCUCAAGAGUGAAGAACUUUACCGGAGCACUGUAGCGAUGACGAUCAAACCGGGGAGGAACUCUUCAACUCAUCAACAACCUAGAGGACCACCGUGAGGCAUUUAUUUGGAUCUCAAUUGGGAUUAGACUAUUGUCAAAUCAGGAGCAGUAGACCCAAGGAUCUUAGAAGGCUUCCAGUAGAUGUCUUCUUUGGAAUAUUGUCUUAUGACUUAUGUCUUUGUAUCAGUUGUAUUGUUGUUUAAGAAUCUCCUUGUAGGUCAUGCUGUAUUUCAUUUGCCUUGUAUUUGAGUUUGAUUGUUAACCUUA